CCCCGCUGCUCCUUCACCUUCCACUGCGCUGAUUUCGAGGGUCGCUCCGUCCGCAGCUCCAUCGAGUUCAACCGGCUCGAGCCCCGGGCGGGGAGGGGGGGGGGGCUCUGCUGCUCCCCCCGGCACCGAGGGGCCCAUGGUGGAGCGGAAAUGCCCCCGCUGUGGGCACGAGGGGAUGUCCUACCACACCCGGCAGAUGCGCUCGGCCGACGAGGGGCAGAGCGUCUUCUACACCUGCCCCCGCUGCAGGUUGCAGGAGAAGGAGGAUUCCUAAAAGAAUUCCUAAAAGAAUUCCUAAAAAAAAGGGGUUUGGGGGACAAUAAAAGCCCCCCCGGGGGGUAUUUUGGCAAUUAAAGCCCCCCCCUCCAUGAGGGGUGUUUUUGGGA
This is a long non-coding RNA of Corapipo altera (White-ruffed manakin), 386 nucleotides long. RefSeq lists it as uncharacterized. NCBI's taxonomy places the organism in Eukaryota, Metazoa, Chordata, Aves, Passeriformes, Pipridae. The transcript is spliced from 4 exons. The record is from RefSeq and is a predicted model, not a curated record.